This 387-nucleotide ribosomal RNA is filed under the name uncultured bacterium. RNAcentral describes it as "bacterial SSU rRNA". It matches the Rfam family "Bacterial small subunit ribosomal RNA", at positions 28 to 417 of the family's 1533-position model. The record is from RNAcentral.
GACGAACGCUGGCGGCGUGCUUAACACAUGCAAGUCGAGCGGUAAGGCCCUUUCGGGGGUACACGAGCGGCGAACGGGUGAGUAACACGUGGGUGACCUGCCCUUAGCUCUGGGAUAAGCCUGGGAAACUGGGUCUAAUACCGGAUAUGACUCCACUGACGCAUGUUGUGGGGUGGAAAGCCUUGUGCGGCUAGGGAUGGGCCCGCGGCCUAUCAGCUUGUUGGUGGGGUGAUGGCCUACCAAGGCGACGACGGUAGCCGGCCUGAGAGGGCGACCGGCCACACUGGGACUGAGACACGGCCCAGACUCCUACGGGAGGCAGCAGUGGGAAUCUUGCGCAAUGGGCGAAAGCCUGACGCAGCGACGCCGCGUGAGGGAUGACGGCCU